GAUGAACGCUGGCGGCGUGCCUAAUACAUGCAAGUCGAGCGAACAGACGAGGAGCUUGCUCCUCUGACGUUAGCGGCGGACGGGUGAGUAACACGUGGAUAACCUACCUAUAAGACUGGGAUAACUUCGGGAAACCGGAGCUAAUACCGGAUAACAUGUUGAACCGCAUGGUUCAACAGUGAAAGACGGUCUUGCUGUCACUUAUGGAUGGAUCCGCGCCGCAUUAGCUAGUUGGUAAGGUAACGGCUUACCAAGGCAACGAUGCGUAGCCGACCUGAGAGGGUGAUCGGCCACACUGGAACUGAGACACGGUCCAGACUCCUACGGGAGGCAGCAGUAGGGAAUCUUCCGCAAUGGGCGAAAUCCUGACGGAGCAACGCCGCGUGAGUGAAGAAGGUCUUCGGAUCGUAAAACUCUGUUAUUAGGGAAGAACAAAUGUGUAAGUAACUAUGCACGUCUUGACGGUACCUAAUCAGAAAGCCACGGCUAACUACGUG
RNAcentral lists this ribosomal RNA (497 nucleotides) under uncultured bacterium. RNAcentral describes it as "partial 16S ribosomal RNA". It matches the Rfam family "Bacterial small subunit ribosomal RNA", at positions 28 to 507 of the family's 1533-position model. The record is from RNAcentral.